RNAcentral lists this ribosomal RNA (189 nucleotides) under uncultured bacterium. RNAcentral describes it as "partial 16S ribosomal RNA". It matches the Rfam family "Bacterial small subunit ribosomal RNA", at positions 1314 to 1500 of the family's 1533-position model. The record is from RNAcentral.
GACUGCAUGAAGCUGGAAUCGCUAGUAAUCGCGAAUCAGCAUGUCGCGGUGAAUACGUUCCCGGGUCUUGUACACACCGCCCGUCACACCAUGGGAGUUGGUAACGCCCGAAGCCAGUGACCCAACCGGAAACGGAGGGAGCUGUCGAAGGUGGGACCGAUAACUGGGGUGAAGUCGUAACAAGGUAUC